RNAcentral lists this unclassified non-coding RNA (240 nucleotides) under Hevea brasiliensis (rubber tree). The record is from RNAcentral. Lineage: Eukaryota; Viridiplantae; Streptophyta; Magnoliopsida; Malpighiales; Euphorbiaceae.
AUGCUGUUUAUCAGGUUAAUGGAAAUGCUGCUGGAGCAAGAGCUAAUCUUAAAACAUCACCCAAUGGAAAGCGUUCCAUUAAAGCUGCCAUUAGUAACAUGAAUUCAAGUGUCUCUGCCAGCUACAAUGAAUCUUCAGGUUCCAAGGCUGUUAGACCUGAUAAGAAAAGGAAGGUUGUUUUCGAAGCCAACUUUAGGAAUGGAUAUGAAGAAAAGGGAUUGAAUUCUGCUCCAGAAGUGG